GGCCUCAUACAUGCAAGUCGAGCGGUCCUUCGGGACAGCGGCGAACGGGUUAGUAACGCGUGGGAACGUGCCCUUUAGUACGGAAUAGCCGUUGGAAACGAUGAUUAAUACCGUAUACGCCCCAAGGGGGAAAGAUUUAUCGCUAAAGGAUCGGCCCGCGUUAGAUUAGGUAGUUGGUAGGGUAAUGGCCUACCAAGCCGACGAUCUAUAGCUGGUUUGAGAGGAUGAUCAGCAACACUGGGACUGAGACACGGCCCAGACUUCUACGGAAGGCAGCAGUAGGGAAUCUUGGACAAUGGGCGAAAGCCUGAUCCAGCCAUGCCGCGUGAGUGAUGAAGGCCCUAGGGUUGUAAAGCUCUUUCGCCAGGGAAGAUAAUGACGGUACCUGGUAAAGAAACCCCGGCUAACUCCGUGCCAGCAGCCGCGGUAAUACGGAGGGGGUUAGCGUUGUUCGGAAUUACUGGGCGUAAAGCGCACGUAGGCGGAUUAAUAAGUCAGGGGUGAAAUCCCGAGGCUCAACCUCGGAACUGCCUUUGAUACUGUUAAUCUUGAGUUCGAGAGAGGUGAGUGGAAUUCCGAG
RNAcentral lists this ribosomal RNA (580 nucleotides) under uncultured Alphaproteobacteria bacterium. RNAcentral describes it as "bacterial SSU rRNA". It matches the Rfam family "Bacterial small subunit ribosomal RNA", at positions 45 to 673 of the family's 1533-position model. The record is from RNAcentral. Lineage: Bacteria; Pseudomonadati; Pseudomonadota; Alphaproteobacteria.